This 1303-nucleotide ribosomal RNA is filed under the name uncultured rumen bacterium. Its description in RNAcentral is "bacterial SSU rRNA". It matches the Rfam family "Bacterial small subunit ribosomal RNA", at positions 64 to 1377 of the family's 1533-position model. The record is from RNAcentral.
GRGCGGCAGCACCUCGGGUGGCGAGCGGCGCACGGGUGAGUAACGCGUAUGUAACCUGCCCAUGAGUGGGGGAUAGCCCGGUGAAAACCGGAUUAAUACCGCAUAAUACCAUUAUCUGACAUCAUUCAAUGGUUAAAGAUUCAUUGCUCAUGGAUGGACAUGCGUUGGAUUAGCUAGUCGGCGGGGCAACGGCCCACCGAGGCUACGAUCCAUAGGGGUUCUGAGAGGAAGGUCCCCCACAUUGGUACUGAGACACGGACCAAACUCCUACGGGAGGCAGCAGUGAGGAAUAUUGGUCAAUGGGCGGAAGCCUGAACCAGCCAAGUCGCGUGAAGGAUGAAGGCAUUAUGUGUUGUAAACUUCUUUAGCUGUGGAGAAAUAAGGUGCUCGUGAGCACCGAUGCUAGUACACAGAGAAUAAGGAUCGGCUAACUCCGUGCCAGCAGCCGCGGUAAUACGGAGGAUCCGAGCGUUAUCCGGAUUCAUUGGGUUUAAAGGGUGCGCAGGCGGUGCCUUAAGUCAGCGGUAAAAUCGUGGGGCUCAACCCCAUCCCGCCGUUGAUACUGGGGCACUUGAUUACGGUCGAGGCAGGCGGAAUUCGUCGUGUAGCGGUGAAAUGCAUAGAUAUGACGAAGAACACCGAUUGCGUAGGCAGCCUACCAGGCCGUUAAUGACGCUCAUGCACGAAAGUGCGGGGAUCGAACAGGAUUAGAUACCCUGGUAGUCCGCACAGUAAACGAUGAAUACUUGCUUUCGGCGAUACAUUGUCGGAGGCAAAGCGAAAGCGAUAAGUAUUCCACCUGGGGAGUACGCCGGCAACGGUGAAACUCAAAGGAAUUGACGGGGGCCCGCACAAGCGGAGGAACAUGUGGUUUAAUUCGAUGAUACGCGAGGAACCUUACCCGGGCUUGAACUGCAGGGGAACGAUCCAGUGAUGGUGAGGUCAGCAAUGACUCCUGUGGAGGUGCUGCAUGGUUGUCGUCAGCUCGUGCCGUGAGGUGUCGGCUUAAGUGCCAUAACGAGUGCAACCCUUUUCUCUAGUUGCCAUCAGGUUAAGCUGGGCACUCUGGAGAUACUGCCACCGUAAGGUGUGAGGAAGGUGGGGAUGACGUCAAAUCAGCACGGCCCUUACGUCCGGGGCUACACACGUGUUACAAUGGGUGAUACAGAGAGUUAGUCGUGCGCAAGUACGGUUUAAUCAAGAAAGUCAUCCUCAGUUCGGAUUGGGGUCUGCAACCCGACCCCAUGAAGCUGGAUUCGCUAGUAAUCGCGCAUCAGCCAUGGCGCGGUGAAUACGUUCCCGG